GCAGGCGGGGCGGCCGGCCCGGCGAUCGCCGCGGGCAGCCCUGCGAGGACCCAGCCCCCGUGGAGCCAGCGGCGAGGCUGCGGCCGACCUGACGCGCGGGAUGAAGCCCAGACCCGCGGCCUUCGUGGACAACAGGCUGAAGCAGCGGGUUGUGCAGUACCUCACCAGCAACAAAUGUGGCAAAUACGUGGACAUUGGAGUCUUAGCAUCUGAUUUACAAAGAAUGUACAGUGUAGACUAUGGUCGAAGAAAAAGAAAUGCUUUUAGGAUUCAGGUAGAAAAAGUAUUUAACAUAAUUACUAGUGAGAAAGAACUUAAGGAUCUAACAGAAUUAGAAGAUGAACAUCUGGCAAAAAGAGCAAGACAAGGUGAAGAGGAUAAUGAGUUUACUGAAAGCUAUUCAGAUGAUGAUUCAAAUAUGGAAGACUACCCAGAUCCACAGGCAGCAAAUCACAUGAACAGCUCCCUGCUCUCCUUAUAUCGGAAAGGACAUCCUGAAUCUGUUUCAAGGACUCCCGAGAUGGAGCCCAGAGAAACCACUGGCUCGAGCCCAUGGACACCUUCCGGAACACGCUCCAUCCCCUUGAAGACCCCAGCCAGAGGUUCUGAGGGAGGGUGGUUUAUCGACAGAACUGGUGGAAAGAUGGACGUGACAGAUGAGAAGAGUAAUCACAAGAAGCUAGGAUCUGAGAUAGAGGAUCCCAAAGAUGCUUCUCUUCUGGAGUGUAGUGAAAAAAGGAAAGUCCGGCUGAAGAGCAAAGGAAGCAAAAGGAAGAAAGACCUUCAGGAAGCAGAUGGAGAAAUAGAAGCUGUCCUGCAGCAGAAAGCUAAAGCCAAGGAGCUAGAGUUACAGGUCUCCAAGGUGAAGUUUGAAGAUGUUGGAGGCAAUGAUACGACGUUAAAGGAGGUGUGCAAGAUGCUCAUCCACAUGCGUCACCCCGAGGUGUACCACCACCUGGGCGCCACCCCGCCGCGCGGAGUCCUCCUUCACGGGCCGCCAGGCUGCGGGAAGACGUUGCUCGCACACGCCGUUGCUGGGGAACUGGACCUCCCAAUUCUGAAGGUAGCUGCCACGGAGAUUGUGUCCGGAGUAUCUGGGGAGUCUGAGCAGAAGCUGAGGGAGCUGUUUGAGCAGGCCGUGUCAAACGCACCCUGUGUCCUUUUUAUUGAUGAAAUUGAUGCUAUUACCCCCAAGAGAGAAGUUGCUUCAAAAGACAUGGAACGAAGAAUUGUAGCCCAGCUCCUUACCUGCAUGGAUGAUCUGAAUACCAUGGCCACGACGGCCCGGGUCCUCGUCAUUGGAGCCACCAACCGACCGGACGCCUUAGACCCUGCUUUGAGACGUGCAGGAAGGUUCGACCGAGAGAUAUGCCUCGGGAUCCCAGACGAAGCCUCCAGGGAAAGAAUACUUCGAACUUUGUGCAGAAAACUUAGACUUCCGGAAAGUUUCCCUUUCCGUCACUUAGCACACCUGACGCCAGGCUUCGUUGGUGCGGACCUGAUGGCGCUGUGCCGAGAGGCAGCCAUGGGUACGGUCAGCAGGGUCCUGAUGGUGCUGCAGGAGCACCUGCCCCAGGAUCCCGUGAGUGCGGGUUUGCCGUCUGGACGAGGCCGGGAAGACUGGAUGGGCGCCGAGCCCGCUCCUGGGACACCGGUGCUUUCUGUGCAGGAGGAGUUACAGCGGCUGCUGGACCUGCUGAGGAGCCACAAGCCCCUGUCCGAGGAGCAGCUGCGGGGGCUGUGCAUCGAAUGGGGUGAUUUCACUGCUGCCCUGGCCUCCGUCCAGCCCUCUGCCAAAAGGGAAGGCUUUGUCACCGUCCCCAAUGUGACCUGGGCAGAUAUCGGCGCCCUGGAAGAUAUCCGGGAGGAGCUCACCAUGGCGAUACUGGCACCGGUGCGCAACCCCGAUCAGUUCAGAGCUCUUGGAUUGGUGACUCCCGCUGGGGUCCUCCUGGCUGGCCCCCCCGGCUGUGGGAAAACGCUGCUGGCAAAGGCUGUUGCAAAUGAAUCCGGACUGAACUUUAUAUCUGUCAAGGGCCCCGAAUUGCUCAACAUGUAUGUCGGUGAGAGCGAGCGCGCAGUCCGCCAGGUGUUCCAGCGAGCCAGGAGCUCUGCACCCUGCGUCAUCUUCUUUGACGAAGUGGACGCCCUGUGCCCUCGAAGGUCAGACCGGGAGGCGGGGGCAAGUGUCCGGGUGGUGAAUCAGCUACUUACCGAGAUGGACGGUCUCGAAGCACGGCAGGAGGUGUUCAUUAUGGCAGCCACCAACCGGCCAGGUGCACCUGCGUGUGAACAACGGUCUUAUCACUGUGAGCUAUGGGAAGCUUCUCCAGAAUGGUUGAGGGCUCUUCGUGGAGGAACCUCAAUGUCAGGCAGCGUUUGGGGCCUGCUCUUUGCUCCUGGUACCGAGAGUCUGAUAUCAUUGACCCUGCGAUCCUGCGCCCCGGACGCCUAGACAAAACACUGUUUGUGGGUUUGCCACCCCCAGCAGACCGUCUGGCCAUCCUAAAAACCAUUACAAAAUGAGCUAUACCAAAAGAUUUCACUUCAAGGGUGUCCUGUAUCUAGAAAGCUGACAGCUCCCCGCGGCAUGCAGACGUGAGAAGAUUUCUCCUCUCGGCCCUCAUAAAAGGAACGCUGAAUUUGGCGGAGUGUUUUCAACAGUGUUCCCGUCAUAAACACAGAAGCAUUUCUGGACUGAGCUUGAUGCUUCUCUUUAUGUAAGCUGAAGACCUUGCUCAAAGCCAGUUCGUUGAAAACAACUUUGUGGAAGGUCAGAGAAGUGCGUCUGCCGGUACGCAGGCCAUUAUGAGAGUCCAGCUUGACCCAAGCGUCGAAUUCAGAUGUUGAGAAGUCCUGGAGAGUUAUCCUUUCGCAGUCCUCCAGGAGUUUAUUCCUUAGAUCGAGGCUUUGAUUCAAACGGGCAGCGCGUGGAGUGUGUGCAGGGCACGUCCGUACAUGGUGACUGAAGUAACGCUGGCGGUUCUGCACAAACGCUGAAGAAUCUAAUAAGGGCUUGUGCCUGAAGAUGCAGCUUCUGCCCUACCCGCCUACCCCCUACCCCCCUACUUGCUUCUACUGAUGCUGCAGGGACUGGACUGGCCCGUGUGCACCAGGCCUUCCUGCCUCCGGGGAGCCUGGGAAGCCCCAGUGUGCUGUUCCACGCCCCCCUGCACUGCUUCCCCUCCCCAUUUAAAUUAAAUUAAUAAUUUAGUUAUAAUUUAAAAUUCCACAUGUGAGUGAAAUCAUAUGCUAAUUGUCUUUCUCUAACUGACUGACUUUGCUCAGCAUUAUACCCUCCAGCUCCAUCCGUGUCGUUGCAAAUGGCAAGAUUUCAUUCUUUUUAUGGCUAAUAUUCCACUGUGUAUAUACCACACCUUCUUUACCCAUUCUUCACUCUGUAGACACUUAGGCUGCUCCCAUAUCUUGGCUAUUGUAGAUAAUGCUGCUAUAAACAUCGGAGUGUGUGUAACCCUUUGAAUUGUAUUUUAUAUUUUUAAUUUUUUGAGGAACCUCCAUACUGUUUUCCGGAAUGGUUGCACCAGUUUGCAUUCCCACCAACAGUUCCCCUUUCUCCACAUCCACGCCAACACCUGUUGUUUCUUGUGUUACUGAUUUUAGCCGUUCUGACAGGUGUGAGGUGGUAGCUCAUCGUGGUUUUGAUUUGUAUUCCCUGAUGAUGAGUGAUGUUGAGCAUCUUUUCAUGUGUCUGUUGGCCAUCUGGAUGUCUUCUUUGGAGAAGUGUCUUUUCAUGUCUUCUGCCCCUUUUUUAAUUUGCUAUUUGUUUUUUGGGUGUUGAAUUGUAUCAGUUCUUUGUAUAUUUUGGAUACUAACCCUUUAUCAGAUAUGUCAUUUGCAAAUAUUUUUUCCCAUUUAGUAGUUUGCCUUUUAGUUUUGUUGGUUGUUUCCUUUUUCCACAGAAGCUUUUUAUUUUGAUGAAGUUCCAGUAGUUUAUUUUUGCUUUUGUUUCCCUUGCCUCAGGAGACAUAUCUAGAAAGAAGUUACUAUGGCUGAUGUCAGAGACAUCACUGCCUGUGUUGUCUUCUAGGAGUUUUAUGGUUUCAGGUCUCACAUUUAGGUCUUUCAUCCAUUUUGAGUCUAUUUUUGUGUAUGAUGUAAGAAAGUGGUCCAGUUUUCCCAGCCAUUGGAUGUUCUUUUCUGCUUUGUCGAAGAUUAGUUGACCAUAGAGUUGUAGGUUCAUUUCUGGGUUUUCUGUUCUGUUCCAUUGAUCUAUGUGUCUGUUUCUAUGCGAGCACCAUGCUGUCUUGAUGACUAAAGGUCUGUGAUAUAACAUGAAGUCUGGAAUCGUGAUGCCUCCAGCUCUGCUUUUCCAAGAUUGCUUUCACUCUUUGGGGUCUUUGUGGUUCCAAACAAAUUUUAGGAUUGUUUGUCUAGCUCUGUGAAAAGUGCUGUUGGCAUUUUGAUAAGGAUUGCAUUAAAUCUGUAGAUUGCUUUGGGUAGUAUACAUUUUAACAGUAUUUGUUCUCCUAAUCCAUGAGCAUGGAAUGUCUCCCAUUUUUUUGUGUCAUCUUCAGUUUCUUAUAUCAGUGUCUUAUAGUUUUCAGAGCACAGGUCUUUCAGCUCUUUGAGUAGGUUUAUGCCUAGGUGUUUUAUUGUUUUUGGUGCAAUUAUAAAUGGGACUGUUUUCUUAAUUUUUCUUUCUGCUGCUUCAUUAUUAGUAUAGAAAUGCAACAGAUUUCUGUACCUCGAUUUUGUAUCCUGUGAUAUUACUGAAUUUAUUUAUCAGUUCCAGCUGUUUUUUGGUGGAAUCUUUUGGGGGUUUCUACAUAAAAUAUCAUGUGAUCUGCAAAUAGAGAUGUUUGCUGCUGUUUGCCAAUUCGGAUUCCUUUUUUCUUUCUGUUGUCUGAUUGCUGUGGCUGGACUUCCAGUACUGUGUCGAAUAAAAGUAGUGAGAGUGGACAUCCUUGUCUUGUUCCUGACCACAGAGGAAAAGCUCUCUGUUUUUCCCCAUUUAGGAUGAUAUUAGCUGUGGGUUUUUCAUAGGUUUUUAUUAUAUUGAGGUAUGUUCCCUCUAAACUUACUUUGUUGAGGGUUUUUACCAUGAACGGAUAUUGGACUUUGUCAAAUGCUUUUUCUGCCUCUAUUGAAAGGAUCAUAUGGUUUUCAGCCUUUCUCUUGUUGAUGUGACGCAUCACAUUGAUUGAUCUGCAAAUACUGAACCACCCUAAUAUCCUAGGAAUAAAUCCCACUUGAUUGUGGUGAAUGUUUUUUUUAAUGUACUGUUGGAUUCAGUUUGCUCAUAUUUUGUUGAGAAUUUUUGCAUCCAUGUUCAUCAGGGAUUUUGGCCCAUAGUUCUCUUUUUUUGUGGUGUCUUUAUUGGAUCAGGAUCAUGCUGGCCUCACAGAAUGAAUUUGGAAACUUUCCUUCCUCCUGUAUUUUUUUCAGUUGCAGAUUUGAACUUUAGAACUCAGAAUUCCUAAUUCCUGGUCCAAUGUUACUUCUUUUUAGUCCUUUUUUGUGAAGUACCGUACACAUACAGAGAAGUGGAGACAUCAUUAAAUACAACUGCAUGAGUUUCUAUAAGCAGAACCUCCAGAUGAAGGAAGAGAACAUUUCCGGUUAUAUUCAUGGAGCAGUGGUUACCAGGGCUGUGCCGAGGCAGCGGGAGGGCCAGUGACUGUGCGUCCAGCGUUUCAUCUGGGGAAGAUGAAACGAGCUCUAGAGACGGAUGGUUGCACAACACUGUGAAUGUACACAAUGCUACUAAACUGCACACUUAGAAAUGGUUAAACUGAUAAAUUCUGUUAAGCAAAUGUUACCACAAUAAGAGAAGAGAGAUCAUCGCCAGAGCCUCAAAGCUGUGCUCCUUCCUUCCAGCCCUUCCCCCCAGCCCACCCGCGCCCCAGGGUUAA
RNA transcript from Mirounga angustirostris (Northern elephant seal), 5873 nucleotides. It is a transcript of the gene named nuclear VCP like, with no coding region annotated. The record is from RefSeq and is a predicted model, not a curated record. The transcript has 21 exons. NCBI's taxonomy places the organism in Eukaryota, Metazoa, Chordata, Mammalia, Carnivora, Phocidae.